GUAGGGUGCGAGCGUUAAUCGGAAUUACUGGGCGUAAAGCGUGCGCAGGCGGUUCGUUAAGUCAGCUGUGAAAGCCCCGGGCUCAACCUGGGAAUUGCGGUUGAAACUGGCGGACUAGAAUCUGGCAGAGGGGGGUGGAAUUCCACGUGUAGCAGUGAAAUGCGUAGAGAUGUGGAGGAACACCGAUGGCGAAGGCAGCCCCCUGGGCUGAGAUUGACGCUCAGGCACGAAAGCGUGGGGAGCAAACAGGAUUAGAUACCCUGGUAGUCCACGCCCUAAACGAUGUCAACUAGGUGUUGGGGGAGCAAUCUCUCAGUACCGCAGCUAACGCGUGAAGUUGACCGCCUGGGGAGUACGGUCGCAAGRUUA
Molecule: ribosomal RNA, 369 nt
Filed under: uncultured bacterium
Lineage: Bacteria
Description: bacterial SSU rRNA
Rfam family: Bacterial small subunit ribosomal RNA
Source: RNAcentral